UUUGCCUCUCCUACCCAUUGUGCAUGUCCUACCAAAAUUUUUCUUCAAUUUCGUGUAUCGUUUGCUGUGAUUCUGCUGUGUGUCAUCACCUAUCAACUCGUCUUGCCGAACAUCGCUUUGUCGAAUGUCUUGCCGAACGUUGCGCCGUUUAGUGGUUGUGGCUGAACGUCGUCUUCCGUCUUUGGCUGUAUUGAGUUCGUCGUCCAUCUUGCUCGACGAUCCAUUGUUCUUUGUCGUAGUUCAAUCUUGAAGUCUAGAGGCUUGUGAGUGCUAAGCACAACAAGAUUAAGGACGUUGGCUGUAGAUUUGUAUCAGUUUGGAACCUAUUCAAACACGAACCAACAAAUGAAAGCAGUUUUAAAGGGAAAUUUGGAAGUCCUAAGUAACAUGUUAUUGUUUCAUUAUCUUGUCAAUGCCCUUGAAAGAGAUUUAGUGCCUCAAAGUCAGAUGAACAAAGAAACCAUGAACUGGAUUCUCGUUCUGGAAUCAUUGCUUAAUAACAUGAUUUUGGAAAAUGAACUACAAAGGAUUAAUGAAGGAUUGUGUGACUACCCUGUGUGGAUUGGGUCAAUUUCUUGCUGAAUAUGACAAUGUUGUCCAAUCUUCUGAGACUUCUAUGGCAAAACAACCUGAAGCUAUUCAUACUGCUUUGGCCACUGCGUUCCUUCAUUUCGGAAGGAUAACAUAUGCUGCCGUGCUGAAACUUAUGGGAAUCGUAAUGGAGCUUGAUUCAUCAGAAAAGAAUGCGGAUAUGCAAGGUCACACUACAAGGGCUGAUGGUGUGAGGUACUAGUUUCAUUAUUUUCUUUUCCCUCUAGUGUAUUCUCAGGCUUAGAUCCAGAAGCUGCAGGGUUAGAUCCCAGGCUUAGAUCCCAUGAUAGAUAUAUCAAAAUAAUUUUGGGUAGGACCAAAUUCAAAAAGAACAACAUAAAGAUAAAAAAAUUCUAAUGAGGAGAGAUCACUAUUCAAUAGAGAAAUCAUCAUUGUUGUAAUGAAUUUAGUGAUUCGAACAUAGUAAAAAGAAUGAAAUUAAACUAAAAAAGAAGAAAACCAAUCCUUAAGUCUUUUAAGCUGAAUGGUUCAAGUUCUUCUCCAAGAAACUUUGGCCACUGCGAUCUGGCUUGUGAAAGAGUUUUGUCCAACUGUUUCUCAAGAUUAUGCAACUCUUUUAAGCUGAAUGGUUCAAGUUCUUCUACAAGAAAAUUCCUUCAAAUUUCACACAAAAUUAAACCACAUAUCAAGAUAAGUUUUUAAAAAACAAGGUCUUGAUUUAACUAAUCUAAAUCAAAUUAACCUAUGGAAACGAUGAAGAGAUUCAUAUUUCGCUCUCAGCUCUGACACAUCCUCUAUCUGCAUUACCAACAUAUGCAUCAUCUGGUAAUGAUCUUUUGACGGUUUUUUUGUUUCUUUUUUACCUAUAAUUUCUUUAUGAACUUAUUCCCUACUUACUCUUAAGUUAACAAAAGUAGCUUUUUAUGGGGAAAGAGAUUGCAUCAGUUGAUGUUACUUCUGAUUGUUUUCUAUCAUAUAUCAGAGGAAGUAAAAGUUUGCAUUUGGCUGCCAUUCCUUCCCUUCUUACUAUAUAUGUUAGCUCAAUUUAGAGGAUGUAAAAGUUCCCAUUUUUGUGAGUUUGAUGGUGGUAUACAUAUUGCGGUUCUUUCAUGUUUUACUGACCUGUGCAUGUUCGUGAGACUCCACUUUAUUGUUGUAAUAUUAUCUACUUCUUGUAGAUUGACUCUACUAUUGGUAGUACUUAUUUUAGCUCAUGAAUCGGAGAUAAAGGAUGCGAAAUGCAACUUUAUUUGAAGCAAAAUUUCAUCCAAGGUCAUUGAGUUUCAAGCUUCUUUAGUCAAGGUCGUGUUUUGAACUAGAAUUGUAGUCUUAUGAUUUUUGGAAUAACAUAGUUGAACUGGUUUUGUAAUUUUGGAAUUAUCAUAUUAGGUUGGGUUGAUAGAAGUUUGUUUUGUAUAUGACAAUAUCGAACAAAUAUGUAAAGUUUUCGAAAUGUUGAUACA
This is a long non-coding RNA of Cucumis melo (muskmelon), 2015 nucleotides long. RefSeq lists it as uncharacterized. NCBI's taxonomy places the organism in Eukaryota, Viridiplantae, Streptophyta, Magnoliopsida, Cucurbitales, Cucurbitaceae. The record is from RefSeq and is a predicted model, not a curated record. The transcript is spliced from 6 exons.